RNAcentral lists this ribosomal RNA (503 nucleotides) under uncultured bacterium. RNAcentral describes it as "partial 16S ribosomal RNA". It matches the Rfam family "Bacterial small subunit ribosomal RNA", at positions 30 to 523 of the family's 1533-position model. The record is from RNAcentral.
AUUGAACGCUGGCGGCAGGCUUAACACAUGCAAGUCGAGCGGGGUGAUGGUGCUUGCACUAUCACUUAGCGGCGGACGGGUGAGUAAUGCUUAGGAAUCUGCCUAUUAGUGGGGGACAACAUCUCGAAAGGGAUGCCAAUACCGCAUACGUCCUACGGGAGAAAGCAGGGGAUCACUUGUGACCUUGCGCUAAUAGAUGAGCCUAAGUCGGAUUAGCUAGUUGGGGGGGUAAAGGCCUACCAAGGCGACGAUCUGUAGCGGGUCUGAGAGGAUGGUCCGCCAGACUGGGACUGGGACACGGCCCGGACUCCUACGGGAGGCAGCAGUGGGGAAUAGUGGACAAUGGGGGGAACCCUGAUCCAGCCAUGCCGCCUGUGUGAAGAAGGCCUUAUGGUUGUAAAGCACUUUAAGCGAGGAGGAGGCUCUUUUGGUUAAUACCCAAGAUGAGUGGACGUUACUCGCAGAAUAAGCACCGGCUAACUCUGUGCCAGCCGCCGCAGUAA